This 1525-nucleotide long non-coding RNA is filed under the name Rattus norvegicus (Norway rat). RNAcentral describes it as "long non-coding RNA NONRATT030405". Lineage: Eukaryota; Metazoa; Chordata; Mammalia; Rodentia; Muridae. The record is from RNAcentral.
CCAUACCCUGGUUCACCUCUCUGCCUUCAUCCCUACAUCUGUUCACUCCCACUCCCUCCCAAAGCCUUCUUCAGUCCUUCCCCUGAAGCUCUUUACUGGCUACAAACCCUCUUACUCCUUGCCUCUACAGUAAAUGGAGAGUGGGAGGCCUGGGGAAAAUGGAGUCACUGCAGCCGUGUGAGAAUGAAGUCCAUCAGCUGUGAUGAAAUCCCAGGCCAGCAGUCACGUUCAAGGAGCUGUGGUGGCCGCAAAUUUGAUGGGCAGCCAUGUACUGGGAAACUCCAAGAUAUUCGACACUGCUAUGACAUCCAUAACUGUGUCUGUGAGUGACCCACAGGCAGCACAGUGAGAGUGGACAACCAUGUAGUAGCUAUGCUGGGUACCCUAUGCCCCUUCAGUCUCCUUUUCUCAUUGAGACCUCCAGUUUUGACUAUAUGACAUUCUACUACCCAUUGCCAUUGCAGUGAAAGGUUCAUGGUCACAGUGGAGUACCUGGGGUCUGUGCACACCACCAUGUGGACCCAACCCCACCCGUGUCCGUCAGCGACUCUGCACACCUUUGCUCCCCAAGUACUCGUGAGUUGGGGAACAUUGUGUUUCUAGGAGGGGGUCAUGAUGCUGAAGGAUAUGAGGGGAAUUGGUUAUACUGAACUGGAGCUUAGCCCCUGGAUCAAAAGUGCCUACCUUGCCAGUGCCAUCUCCUACCUUAGAGAAGAGGAGAGAAACAAAAGAAAGAGGAGAAGCAAUUAGGGAAGACUUCACAGCCUCAGUUUCUAAUGCAGCCACCUAGCUGGACUCCCAUGCACACAAUCCUUCAUGUGGCCUUCUCACUGACCUCUUAGCAUACUUUUGAGUUACUCAGUCAUCCAUGCCCUCCAUUUAUCCACUCCACAUUUCACUACCUUGAAGUACUCCAAGGCCUUUCUAGCAACACUCACUAAAAAAGAACCCAAAUCUAUGGGUAGAAGGUACCCAGGUGAGUUGUGAUAAAAUGCAUAUAAAAAUGACAGGUGAGUAGCAAUGAGACUUGCACUACCCUCUGGACCUAGAAAACUAAUUAGGCCUUUCUGGAGAAGCCUUCCUGACAUCCAGAUAGUGAGCAGGUUCUAGACAGAGCUGAUUAGCCACCUUCAGUGUUUACUGGACACCACAGUGGCCCAGGAGUUAGAAAGGGUUAAGUUACCCAUCCCUUCUUACACCACAUAAAUAAGGUUAAAUGGUCUUUUUCCAGCUGUUAAGUGGCCUAUCACUGGGAUAGGAUUUUCCAGAUGUGGGGGAUCAGACUGGUUCCUGAAGUUAGGAACCAGUUUUUAAUUUCCUAAGUUUCCCACAUAGUUAGAGGCUGUGUGGAAAAAGACCAAUUGAGAGAGUCUGGGUGAAAAUGAAUAGUGAGCUUGCCUACAAGGAGAAAUCUUACUGGAAAAAACCUUCCUGGAUAUAAGGUUCUAUUUGUGUAAAGUGAGGAGGGACAAAGAAAAGAGAAAGGAAAAGGAAGAAGAGAGGAGUAGUGGCUUGAGAUAGGCAU